RNAcentral lists this unclassified non-coding RNA (1660 nucleotides) under Hevea brasiliensis (rubber tree). The record is from RNAcentral. Lineage: Eukaryota; Viridiplantae; Streptophyta; Magnoliopsida; Malpighiales; Euphorbiaceae.
UUCCACUAUAACCGGUGCGUUUUGUUGAGGGCGACAGGAGAUCUCGAACAGAGAACCGGCCAAUCAUCAGCCUCAGCAGAAGUCCUGAAGUAGACACUUUCUCCUUAUGGCUCUUCUUAAUUUUCCUUUCUAAAACCCUAAUAAAUUUCACCAAUUUCACAUCCUCAUUCCAAUUUUCCUUCCAAUUAAAGAAAUUGUGAUUCGAUUCCUAGGGUUCUCUUUGUUAGGUAUUUUCUUGAAUUAUUAAAAGCAACCAGUAGGGGGAAUCGUCGCGUGGCAAAAUGUUGGGUGGUUUGUACGGAGACCUCCCUCCCCCCUCGUCGGCGGAGGAGGAUAAAUCCGCUACCAACUCGUCCACGGUCUGGUCGAGCAGCACCUUGAUGGCGCCGCCGACCCUCCGCAAACCUUCCGUAGCGUUGGCGACGCCGCAAACCAUCCUAAAGUCCCAAAACAAGACGAAAGGCCAAAACUCUGCAUCCAAAAACAUAACGUCCCCAGCAGUGGCGCCGGUUCCCACUGUGCUGCCGGAAGAGCCUGCGCAACCGGCGCUCGUGGGGGUUACUUCUGUGGUAAUUGAGGAGUAUGAUCCAGCGAGGCCGAAUGAUUAUGAAGAGUAUAGGAGAGAGAAGAAGAGGAAAGCAUUUGAGGCCGAGAGAAUGAGGGAACUUGAGAGGAGGAGGCAAGAGGAGGAGGAGAGAGAAAGGAGGGAGAGGGAAGAGAGGGACAGGGAAAGAGAGAGGGACAGAAAUAUUUCAGGGGAAGAAGCUUGGAGGAGGCGCGCAGCGAUGAGUGGUGCUGUCCCAAGGUCGCCAUCACCCCCAAGUAACGGUGAGAGAUUUACUAUUGGGAAGUCGGAAACUGGUGGAUUGGGGGUUGGUGCAGGUGGACAAAUGACUGCUGCGCAAAGGAUGAUGGCAAAGAUGGGUUGGAAGGAGGGACAAGGUCUUGGGAAACAGGAGCAGGGGAUCACAACACCAUUGAUGGCAAAGAAGACUGAUCGUAGAGCUGGAGUGAUUGUGAAUGCUAGUGAGACAAAACCAGAGAAGAAGGUGAAGAGUGUGAAUUUCAAUGGACCACCUACUCGGGUUUUGAUGCUCAGGAACAUGGUGGGUCCUGGUGAGGUAGAUGAUGAGCUAGAAGAGGAGGUUGGAUCCGAGUGCUCGAAGUAUGGGACGGUUACUCGGGUUCUCAUAUUUGAGAUAACAGAGCCAAACUUCCCCCGUGAUGAGGCAGUCAGAAUAUUUGUACAGUUUGAGAGAUCAGAAGAAACAACAAAAGCAUUGAUCGAUCUCGAUGGUCGGUACUUUGGAGGUAAUGUGGUUCGUGCAACCUUCUAUGACGAGGAAAGGUUCAGUAAGAACGAAUUGGCUCCCAUGCCUGGUGAAAUCCCAGGUUUUUGACAGAUGCUUCAAUUCAAUAGCUUGCCAAAUUUUCUUUACUUGGGAUAAACUGAAACUUGGAAUGGACUCUUGUUUGGGUUCCCAGUUUAUCAAUGGGGAGAAGUCAACUGUGUUGUAAGUAAUUUAGGUUGGAGUUAAAAUUGUGCUUCUAACGAAAUUAACCAUUACUUUAAUGGUGAAUUGUUACUAUUUUAUGAACAAGAGAACAGCUUUUGCCCACCCUCUGCUCAUGAAUCAUGAAUUCCUUUUAUGGAUUCUUU